CUCGGUUCCGGCAGAGGGGAUGGUGCAGCGGUCUUCCGGCCAGGUUACCUGGGGUGAUUUCCACCAUGACUCUAAAGGUGGGAGGAUAAAUCUGGUCCCUGUUACUUCUUCUUGGCCAUUUAAACCUCAUACCAUGCUUACAGCCCCCCGGUACAUAGUUGCGUAUUCUUCAUUGUGGGUCCUUCCAGUUGUGGCAU
Long non-coding RNA from Equus quagga, 197 nucleotides. RefSeq lists it as uncharacterized. The record is from RefSeq and is a predicted model, not a curated record. Lineage: Eukaryota; Metazoa; Chordata; Mammalia; Perissodactyla; Equidae. The transcript is spliced from 3 exons.